CAUGCUUAAAUAUAUAUAUAUAUCUGUGUGUGUGUGUGUGUGUGUGUGUGUGUGUGUAUGUAAAUGUGUGUGCGUAUAACUUACGAUAAUUUACGAGCAUGUAGCAUAUGCCACACCCUUAAACUAUUUCUAUUUUCUUUCUAUUCGUACGUCUAACUCGCGUCUAGCUGCAAUAUAAAAGUGCAUCCUAACAACAAAAAUAUUGCACAUCUUUCUAGAGCAUGCUUUGUUCUCUCUGAAAAUCAAUCUUACAUUGAAAGCUUAUCUGUCACAACUUGUUUUAUCUCGUGCUUCUCACCAAAGCCUCACAUAUAUUUAUAUAGGUAUGUGGGUGUGUGUGCAUGUAUUAAUGUAUAUUCAUACAUACAUACAUACAUACAUACAUACAUACAUACAUAUAUAUAUAUAUAUAUAUAUAUAUAUAUAUAUAUACAUACACACACACACAAACAUGCAUAUAAACUGCUGUAAGAAUAAGCCAUGUUUUUAGAUGUGGCCCACAUUCAAUACUUUUUCUUUAGUUUGCUGGUGUAUUUUUUUCCACUAGUUGUUAUUUGGAUCUAGAAAGACAAAUUGUAUUUGAGAAACAAAAUAAUUGAUGAAAGAAUUUUAUAUAAUUUAGGACUGGUUUAGUUUCGUUGUCAAAAUAACAUUAGAUGAAUUCCACAGAUCUGAAAGAAUAAUUUGCCGUCAUUAACGACCUAGUGUGAAAAUCUUAUGUGUGUGUGUGUGUAUGUGUGUGUCUGUGUGUGUCUGUGUCUGUGUGUGUCUGUGUGUGUCUGUGUGUCUACCUGUCCUUUGAGGUGUCGGUUCGGUUCGUUAUGAUAUGUAUAUUUACAAACAGUGAUAAACUUUCAAAUAUGUGAAGUACGCGUGAAUAUUUCAUAAGUGACAACAGAUUAUGAAUAUUACUGGAAUAAUUAUGCUUACAAAUACUCAAAGAUAUGAAUAUUCACGAAUAGAACAUAUCUCAAAUAAUUAUAUAUAUAUAUAUAAAUCCAUGCAUCUGUAAUUUAUGCCUGUAAUAUGCAUAUUGUUAAUAUUUCUGUGUUUAUGUGAUAUAUCUGAUGUCGUUCGAAAAAGCAAAUUCUGUUGGAAGAUUCAACAAUAAAGAACCGAACUGAUACUCUCACCUACAAAGAAACCUAAUCAGUCCGAAAGUGGAACUUCUAAAAGCAACUGUUUUUGCCCCAAAUUUAUCAAUCACAACAGAAUACGAUAAAUAUUUGCAGUCAAAUAACUCCCUAUCCAGCUUAACUUUUAAACUUGAAACGUAAAAUGAUUUACUAGUGACAUCAAGUAUCAUAAUCCGGGAUUAUUUCAUAAUUUCCCUUGAGAAAAAUUAACCAUAAUUAAAGACUAACUGCUUGCUGUGAUGCCCCCUCCGGUAUUGAUUUCAGCUAUUGAUUUAUGUCUUGGAUAAUAACCUCGGCUAUUGAUCUAUAUCUUCUAGCUAACACUCCAGUGUGUUUACUCGAGCAUUUUAUUUACAUGUUUGUUAAUUUUUUAAUGUUUCUUCUUUUUUUUUUUGUUUUAAACGAUAAAACUGGAUCGAUUUUGAAUUUCAUUUAUUUAUUUUUACUUAAAAGGUUCUAUUAGCUGACAGUUUAAUAUACCGAACUUCAAAACAUAAUCUGCCAGAAAUGUAUUUCUAUUUAAAAAAUACAACUCACUGAAAAAAUACUUCCUAAUAAAGAAUAAUGUAUAAA
This 1709-nucleotide long non-coding RNA is filed under the name Octopus sinensis (East Asian common octopus). RNAcentral's name for it is "uncharacterized LOC118765764". The record is from RNAcentral. Lineage: Eukaryota; Metazoa; Mollusca; Cephalopoda; Octopoda; Octopodidae.